GCAAGUCGAGCGGAAACGACAACAUUGAAUCUUCGGAGGAUUUGUUGGGCGUCGAGCGGCGGACGGGUGAGUAAUGCCUAGGAAAUUGCCUUGAUGUGGGGGAUAACCAUUGGAAACGAUGGCUAAUACCGCAUAAUGCCUACGGGCCAAAGAGGGGGAUCUUCGGACCUCUCGCGUCAAGAUAUGCCUAGGUGGGAUUAGCUAGUUGGUGAGGUAAUGGCUCACCAAGGCGACGAUCAGUAGCUGGUCUGAGAGGACGAUC
RNAcentral lists this ribosomal RNA (262 nucleotides) under uncultured bacterium. RNAcentral describes it as "partial 16S ribosomal RNA". It matches the Rfam family "Bacterial small subunit ribosomal RNA", at positions 57 to 305 of the family's 1533-position model. The record is from RNAcentral.